CACGGGGGUGGCAAGCGUUGUCCGGAAUUACUAGGCGUAAAGGGCAGGUAGGCGGUUGUAUAAGUUAAUCGUUAAAGACCCAUGCUUACCAUGGGGAAGGCGGUUGAUACUGUAUAACUGGAAGCCGGUGGGGGAAGACGGAAUUCCUGGUGUAGCGGUGGAAUGCGCAGAUAUCAGGAGGAACACCGAAGGCGAAGGCAGUCUUCUAUACCGGUCUUGACGCUAAACUGCGAAGGUGCGGGGAU
This 245-nucleotide ribosomal RNA is filed under the name uncultured bacterium. Its description in RNAcentral is "partial 16S ribosomal RNA". It matches the Rfam family "Bacterial small subunit ribosomal RNA", at positions 524 to 768 of the family's 1533-position model. The record is from RNAcentral.